This 3515-nucleotide long non-coding RNA is filed under the name Felis catus (domestic cat). RNAcentral's name for it is "lncRNA (ENSFCAG00000051200.1)". Lineage: Eukaryota; Metazoa; Chordata; Mammalia; Carnivora; Felidae. The record is from RNAcentral.
GGCAGGCAUUGGGAUUUUCAAGGAAUCCUUAAAAUUCCACCAUCCCAUCUUCUUUCAGAGCCAGCCUUCGCUGGAUCUCUAUGUGUUGCCAGUGACUGUUCUUCGAAUAGUGGGCCCAGAGGCCCUCCCUGACUCAUCGGAUAGCCACCAAGUCCCCACUUGCAGGUCACACUGCACAGCCCCUGAGUAAAGUGUGAUAUUCACUCAUCCCAGGUUCUUCCAACGUUUUUGGCAUCCCAUUUUGGUCCCCUCUGAUGGGCCCAUUGUUCUGGAGUUUUCCUCUUUUUAGUGAAUAAAAUCCACUUUCAGAAACCACUCACUUUCCUUUAUGAAACGAGUAAAUGCCACACUCCUCUUUGCUGGUGCACGAAUCCACAGCCCCUUCCUUGCAGAUUCUUUGUCACCUCUGCAGCAGGUGGGGGCUGUGGAGUCUUGCAGGGCCCCUCGUGCCUCAGAAGUCACGUCAAGAGGCAGUGUCUGGAAGGAGGCUUGGCAGUGGAUCAGAUGAUGCUCACUUCUCACAAAAGUGCCUCUUGGGAUGUUUGGGAGUGCGUGAAGGAGACAGAGGUCUGGGUCUGAAGGGGAUGCCCAUGAGUGGUGAGGUAAGAGGAGAGGCCAGGUUCAUUAGUAUGAUUAAGAGAGAGACUAUGAGAACAAUCCUGGGCCAUAGAAAGGGCUACAGGAUGGCUUGCUGUAAUAAAAUCUGGAGUAAAGAGUUGGGUUUAAGUGUGAGCUCCGUAUGUUGCUUAACCUUUCUGCACCUCGAAUUUGCCAUCUACCUGAUGGGACUAAUAAUUAAGACUCUUCCUACCCCAAAAGUGGGAUGCAGAGCUCAAUAUGAGCUAACAAACAUUUGUGGCUCUUAAUUGCUAUGCAUGUUGAGGGAUGAGUCGUAUCCUCUAGUUAUGGUUUAUAACUAGUCGUAUCCUCUAGUUAUGGCCCACUGAGUUGUGGGCCUCACUCCUGAGUUAUCUGGGCACUGGUUUCUUCUUCUUCCAUUGGUUCUUCUCUUCUCAUCUCUGACCUUUCUCUUCUGUAUUUCUCCCAAGCGCUAAAAUUAUUAUUCACCAUCACUUCCUCAAGCCCGCGCAGGGUGUCCCAGGGCAGGAGUGCUUUCCUGGUGGGCAGAGGCAGGCAGGAGAAGGCAGUGGUGGGAUUGAAUAUCAGCACCUCCUGCUUGGAGACAGAUGUCACAUGAGGCUGGUGGGCAGUGAUGGAGAUGUUUUGACACGUGUCGAGUAGUUUUGAUUCCCGAAGGUGCACAUCAGAGCAGUGAGACAUGUUUGGAUAAAUCAGAACCAACCGGAAUCUAAACUCUUUCUUAUACCAACAGUGCAGCUUUCCUUCUUCUUUUCUUCCCAGUUUUCAUGUCUGCCUGCUCAGCGGGGCUGGACUAUCCAGGCUAGAGUGAAGCUACCUUCAUUCUUCUCGCUGGACAAUGGGUCUUCUCCAAGAGUGGGCUGGGGUGGAACAGAUUUUUUGUAGUUUUGGGGUGGAGAAGCAGUUCCCUCCUGUGGGUGCUGAGUGUGAGCACUCCAGAGCAGACACCAUUUGGAUGGUUGUGAAUUCUGCAUGUCUCUCUCCCUCCCUCCUCCUUCCUCAGGACAACUUUGUAAAUGGGUCCCAAACCUAAAAUCCCCAGAGAUUGUUAAGGAGGGUGUUGGGGGUGCCAAAGGGCUUAAACCAGCAGCAGAGGUUUUGGGUCAGAUUUGCACCUGUAGACCCAACAGGGGCCAUGAGAGCCAAGUAGAGCAAAUGCUUGGGUCAUACUUGCUGACCAUCAUAUUCCAGACAGGACCACUUGGACAUUUUUUAACUGCAGAGUUAUUUUUGGAAACAGCUCUCUCAAAGCAUCGUGGCCUCCUGGCUACCCACACAGCAGCCUUUGUCAGAUUUGUGCUGUUGUGGCACAAAUAUUAAUUGAGCCCCUAUUCCUCAUCAUGCUCUGGGGCCACACAGGUGACAAAGCCUUGGUUUCAAUGGCCAGAAACUCAUCCUCUAGCAAGAGAGACUAGUACGUAGACAGGAUAGAGGCAGACCCAGGAAUGAGGCAAGAGAGAGGAAACAUACUUCUCUGGGUGCAGGAUGAUCUUGGAAGGGUUCAUUGAGGAGGCAGAUGAAGAACUCGUGUGAAAGAUGAACAGACAUUAACAGGAAGAGGCAGCAGAAUGGAGGGGGGAGGGGAAGGGUAUCAAUUAUCCUGGUUUGCCAUGGAAUGAGGGGGUUCCUGGGACGUAGGAUUUUCAGUGUUAAGAUGGAGACAGUUCUGAGCAGACUGGGAUGGUAGGUCACCCUAGGCAGUGAAAGGGCCAGGACUUUCAGAGUUGGAAGGACCUAGGUUUGAAUCCCAGCUCUGCUACUUAAAACCUUUGUGGCCAUGGGUAAAUUGUUUAACCACUCUGAACCCUAAUUUCUCUGAAUCCUAACCCUGAGAAUAUACAUAAGACUCUGCCUAACCCAGUGGUAUCAGUAACAGGUAGUUAUUUAGAUGGAAAAAGCAGCAUUUUCAAAAGCCAGGAAGAAUAUGGUUGGGGCAGAGUACAAAGAAGGGUGUGGUAAGAGGUUGGCUGGAGAUAGCAGGAGCCAGAUUAGAAAGGGUCUGAAUAGCAUCCUAAGGAAUUUAGAUUUUUUCCCCUAGGACAAUGGUUAAUCACUGAAUUAAUUUUAGAAGAUGAGUAAGACAAGCAGAUUCCUGCCUUAGAGAGGUUGUUCUGGAAGCAGAGGGGAGUAGAUUAGGAUUUGAAUCUGGAGGGGGCAGGGAGGGUAAGGAUGAUGUAGUGAAGUGAUCGGGAAAAGGGAGUAUAUUCUAAGAAAAACAGGAAAGCUAAGUGGAGAAUUCCAGAGGAGGCCAUCAGCCAGCUCAGAGUUAUCUUGGGAGCCCCAGAGGUUAAAGGGACAGGAACGUCACCUUCCGAGUUUUAGGUGCUGCCUGUGGACUGUGGCUACAUGCUGGGCUGGACUGGAAGGUUAUGUGCUUUCGAAACAGAUCUGACACCUGGGAAACUAUGUGAAUGAGGAUGACCUCAUGAGCUUCUUGGGAUGUUUUGAGUCCUCUGGCUAAUGUGCAGGUCCUUCCUCUCUUUUCUUCAUCUUCUUCCUUGGCUUCAUCCUGCAUGGGAGGCUUCUUGCCAGUGCUUUGACAUCUCGUCAUCUCCAUGGUGAUGGAACAAUGGUGUCCUAAACAUAUGACCUCACCGUGUGGUUAUGCAAAAGAGUAUACUGGAAGGGGCGCUUUGGGGGUUUGAUGAGUCUGGUUGGGAUAGGAAACCCUCUGGAUCAGAUGCCUUUGGAGCAGCUCCCCAGCCCUUGGGAGAGGAUGGACCAGCCCUGCAGUGGAAAUAACUUGGACUAGACCUCUGACAGUGGUCUCAGCUGCAUUAGCAAUUUGGAAUUGGGAAUGAUUUUCUGUAGAUAAUAAUCAGAAGAAGUUAUAAAGGAGAAAUGACUGAUCUCAACUAAAUAAGUUGUGUUUUGUGGUAUGCGAAUACUUCAAAUAAAUGAAAAAGCAAAAGACA